This 464-nucleotide ribosomal RNA is filed under the name Vreelandella stevensii. RNAcentral's name for it is "partial 16S ribosomal RNA". It matches the Rfam family "Bacterial small subunit ribosomal RNA", at positions 338 to 795 of the family's 1533-position model. Lineage: Bacteria; Pseudomonadati; Pseudomonadota; Gammaproteobacteria; Oceanospirillales; Halomonadaceae. The record is from RNAcentral.
CCUACGGGGGCUGCAGUGGGGAAUAUUGGACAAUGGGCGAAAGCCUGAUCCAGCCAUGCCGCGUUUGUGAAGAAGGCCUUCGGGUUGUAAAGCACUUUCAGUGGGGAAGAAAGCCUUGGGGCUAAUACCCUCGAGGAAGGACAUCACCCACAGAAGAAGCACCGGCUAACUCCGUGCCAGCAGCCGCGGUAAUACGGAGGGUGCGAGCGUUAAUCGGAAUUACUGGGCGUAAAGCGCGCGUAGGCGGUCUGAUAAGCCGGUUGUGAAAGCCCCGGGCUCAACCUGGGAACGGCAUCCGGAACUGUCAGGCUAGAGUGCAGGAGAGGAAGGUAGAAUUCCCGGUGUAGCGGUGAAAUGCGUAGAGAUCGGGAGGAAUACCAGUGGCGAAGGCGGCCUUCUGGACUGACACUGACGCUGAGGUGCGAAAGCGUGGGUAGCAAACAGGAUUAGAUACCCGGGUAGUC